This 383-nucleotide ribosomal RNA is filed under the name uncultured eukaryote. RNAcentral's name for it is "SSU rRNA". It matches the Rfam family "Eukaryotic small subunit ribosomal RNA", at positions 587 to 972 of the family's 1831-position model. The record is from RNAcentral.
AGCUCCAAUAGCGUAUACUAAAGUUGUUGCAGUUAAAAAGCUCGUAGUUGGAUUUCUGGUCGUGGACAUCGGUCCGAUCCUCGCGGAUUGUGUACCAGGUGUCUGCAGCCAUCCUCGGAGAGAGCAUAUCUGACAUUAAGUUGCCGGAUAUGGGAUCUUCGUCAUUUACUGUGAGCAAAAUAGAGUGUUCAAAGCAGGCUUAGGCCGUUGAAUAUAUUAGCAUGGAAUAAUAAGAUAGGACCUUGGUCUAUUUUGUUGGUUUGCACUCCAAGGUAAUGAUUAAUAGGGAUAGUUGGGGGUAUUCGUAUUCAAUUGUCAGAGGUGAAAUUCUUGGAUUUAUGGAAGACGAACUACUGCGAAAGCAUUUACCAAGGAUGUUUUCA